UUAAUGUGCACAUGUACAUAUGUGUAGGCUUGAGUUUCAAUAUGGCCAAAUAUUGGAAUAUCUCUCAUAGCAGCACACAGAAGAUUUUCGUGGGAAAGCAGUGACACUUGAAAAGGCUUAAAAUACUGGUGGAUGAUGUUCUGCAAGAUGUGUGUCCACUCUGGUGGCACAGCCUGAACAGCUUUCUUUGGCUGACAUCAGACUACUUCAUCUUCUCUUUCAAUAGUUAGAAGACUACUUUCAAGGCCAGAAAAACCAUUUACUUCCACUUUGUCCUGGAUUCAGAAAAAAGAGCCUAUCCAGAUAGAUUGCUCAUUCCUCUUGCAUGGAAAAGAAAUGACUUACUCAUUUUUCCUGGCUGAUGCUGCAAUACAUCUUUCCCUAAAAAAGGUUGCAGGACUGACAGGAGCAAAAAAGGAAAAGAUUAAUUGUUGUGAAGUUAUACAUUAA
This 450-nucleotide long non-coding RNA is filed under the name Zonotrichia albicollis (white-throated sparrow). RNAcentral's name for it is "lncRNA (ENSZALG00000012747.1)". The record is from RNAcentral. Lineage: Eukaryota; Metazoa; Chordata; Aves; Passeriformes; Passerellidae.